This 253-nucleotide ribosomal RNA is filed under the name uncultured bacterium. Its description in RNAcentral is "partial 16S ribosomal RNA". It matches the Rfam family "Bacterial small subunit ribosomal RNA", at positions 524 to 776 of the family's 1533-position model. The record is from RNAcentral.
UACGGAGGGAGCUAGCGUUGUUCGGAAUUACUGGGCGUAAAGCGCGCGUAGGCGGCUUUGUAAGUUAGAGGUGAAAGCCCGGGGCUCAACCCCGGAACUGCCUUUAAAACUGCAUCGCUUGAAUCCGGGAGAGGAGAGUGGAAUUCCUGGUGUAGCGGUGAAAUGCGCAGAUAUCAGGAAGAACACCCGUGGCGAAGGCGGCUCUCUGGGACGGUACUGACGCUGAGACGCGAAAGCGUGGGGAGCGAACAGG